UUGAACGCUGGCGGCAUGCCUUACACAUGCAAGUCGAACGGUAACGGGCCUUCGGGUGCCGACGCGUGGCGAACGGGUGAGUAAUACAUCGGAACGUGCCCGAUCGUGGGGGAUAACGAGGCGAAAGCUUUGCUAAUACCGCAUACGAUCUACGGAUGAAAGCAGGGGACCGCAAGGCCUUGCGCGGACGGAGCGGCCGAUGGCAGAUUAGGUACUUGGUGGGAUAAAAGCUUACCAAGCCGACGAUCUGUAGCUGGUCUGAGAGGAUGAUCAGCCACACUGGGACUGAGACACGGCCCAGACUCCUACGGGAGGCAGCAGUGGGGAAUUUUGGACAAUGGGCGCAAGCCUGAUCCAGCCAUGCCGCGUGCAGGAUGAAGGCCUUCGGGUUGUAAACUGCUUUUGUACGGAACGAAAAGCCUUCUUUUAAUACAGGAGGGUCAUGACGGUACCGUAAGAAUAAGCACCGGCUAACUACGUG
Molecule: ribosomal RNA, 481 nt
Filed under: uncultured bacterium
Lineage: Bacteria
Description: partial 16S ribosomal RNA
Rfam family: Bacterial small subunit ribosomal RNA
Source: RNAcentral